Flavobacterium sp. FPG59 is the source of this 142-nucleotide small RNA. It matches the Rfam family "Flavo-1 RNA". Lineage: Bacteria; Pseudomonadati; Bacteroidota; Flavobacteriia; Flavobacteriales; Flavobacteriaceae. The record is from Rfam.
CCCUAGCCCCGACAGCAGUGAAAAUCCUCUGGCCCAAAAGCCUAUUUUUUCUUGGUAGAAAAGAGCGACCGCAGGAAGCUCCUUUUAUGCCUUAGAAAAAAAGGGUUUUGGGCCAGAGAUGAAACGAAUGGCGGGAUAUGGC